Molecule: long non-coding RNA, 5190 nt
Organism: Onychostoma macrolepis
Lineage: Eukaryota; Metazoa; Chordata; Actinopteri; Cypriniformes; Cyprinidae
Exons: 4
Source: RefSeq, a predicted model, not a curated record
CUGACCUGAAAGAGAGAAACAAGAGUCAAACAUCCAGCCUUUUCAUGAAUUUGCCAUUCAAAUUUUAUUUAUGUUGGUUCAUAGGCAUAUCGGCAUACAGAUUUGGUUUUGUGUGUUUCUUUUAUGGCUAUAUUAAUCAAAUUUAACUGUUUGGCACACACUUGUUUUAUAUCCUUUAUUUUCAUUGUAAACGUGAAUAUUUAUCUUCAUAUCGACAUAUUAUUCUUCCAACAAAUAACCUGCAAAACAUAACAUGCAAAAGAGCAAAAAAGAUGCAAAAUAGCAUUUUGUAUUGCAUGCACUGUAUCGUUACCAUAGAUUGUGUUUCUGUAUUGUAUGAACAUAAUGACAUUGAAGUUUGUUCUGAUAGUGAUCAGACUGGUUCUCAAAUACAUAGAUACGUGUCAUUUCGUUUGCGUGUCAGCUGAUGUUUGAUGUUUUACGUUCACUAAGGCGUAGAGUUACUGUGGUGACACUCGGCACCAGAAUGCUGCUUAUAUAAACACUGUUAAGCCAAAGUCAAAAGAUCCCACAGCCAUUUCUCUACCAAAUUCUGCUGCUGAUCGAAUGAUGCGUUAUUGGGAAUUAACGAAGAAUUAAUUAGAUUUGGUAAAAGAUGUACAGUUUUAAUUCCAACAAAAAUAAAAUAAUAUGUAAAUAAAACUAAAUACAUUUAAACACAACAGGCAACGUGCACCAGAGGACACGUAUUCUUGUAGGAGGCACGAGGAAGAAUUUUUCAUCCAAUACUUUUAUCAUUAGUUGAGGUUGUUUGAAGUAUGGGGAUCACAUGACUUGGUUCAUAUUUUCUGUGCUCGUUUUGUCGGUUUGGCGUUGGAUUUGUAGAAAUCACAUCAAAUACACAGUAAUCACAUAACAUAUAAGGGGGAGGCCCUUGAUAAAAAAAUCUCUCUGAGGGAUGGGGUGGGGGAUGGGGAUUAUAAAUCACAACAAGGAGAGCAGCUCCCCCUCAGUAGAAAUUGCAUUCCAGGGCCAGGGGCCCUUAGGGAAGAGCCUUAUAGGCCUUCCUGGCCUCUAGGUCCCCUGUACACAGUCCCCUUUCUAUUUAUUUUGAGUUUAGAAAUUGUGCAAAUGUUAAUAUUUGUAUGUAAAACUGAUAAUAUUACACUGUUGACUACAUCUUUGCAUUUUUAACUAGAUUUUUUCCCCUGCAGGGUUUCACAGCUCAUUUUAUGGUAGAAGAGGGGUGUCUAACCCUGCUCCUGGAUGGCUAGAAUUCUGCAAUUUUUAGCUCCAACCCUGAUCAAAAACAUUUGAAAAAUCUGACAAAAACCGCUUUAGUUCCAGAACUAAAUGUACAGUACUAAAGUACUGGGACGAUUUUGCCUGAGCUAUUUCCCAGUACCAUUUAAAGGGUUGUGUUCACACCGAGAGUUGGUAUUAGGAAGUGACGUAAGCUGGUCGACAGCGGCGUCAUGUGCACGGCGUUCAACAACGGAAACAGAGAAGAACAACAUUGACAACAGGAGGAUGGAGGACGCUGUGAUCAGAGCUGUGUUUGUGUUGGGUCUCGCGGGUUUCACAAUAAUGGACAUGGAAUGUCGACGUAUACGUCAAGCGAUUGAAAGAACGGAAAGGAGGACUAAGAAUCUCCAACGACUAGAUUCUAAUGUUCAAACUAAAUGUUCAAAAGUGCCUGCACUUCAGCGUCCGUCCAUCUAUCACUGUUCUCCAUACUUGCGAAAUAAGUUGACACAAUGUUUACGGUAUGUUUACACGGCGUUUUAAAUCAUGGCGGGUGAGGGCGUUUUUGUUAGCGUUUGGCCAAUCAACGUCUACUUACGUCAUGGGUAGUACCAGUUGUGCUGAUUAGACCCUGCUCUGGAGUAGGAGCUAAUUUGGUUCUCAAAAAGGCAGUCCGGUACUAAAAUCGCAUCCAGUUCCGGCGGUGCGAAAACGCCAAAAAGUGGGUAGUUCCACAAUUAGUUCUGGAACUAUGAAAAGGUUCCCACGGUGCGAAAGGCCCUAUAGUCACCGACAAAGUUAUGACCUGAGCUGUAAACAGUGUUGAGAGCACCUCUGGCAUGUAACCCUUCUUGGGGUUUAGAAUAACCUUACAGUCAUUCAGCAUGAAUUCCAUGCAAGAAGCACCAAAAGUAGACAGCACUGGAAAGUCCACCACUUGCUUUACAGAAGUAAAACACUAUCUUCAGCAAGAGUGCUCGUAAUUAAGAGCUUUUAGGUCCAAAGCAAAGUCCCAAGUGAGCAAUGUGGAAGGGUGAAGGCAUAGCCGUGGGAACAUAUUUUAUCUGGGGGGUGCUGGGGGGGCGUGGGUUGAUUUGGCAGGGUGGGGCCACGGUGGGGGAUUUUUUACAAAAUCCUAUAAACAGCCCAAACUCUUAUAGAUUAACAUACAAAUGAAGAUGUAGCCUAUAUGCGAACCAAUAUAUAGGCUAUUUGUGCUUUUGUGAUUUUAGUUCAAAAAAAUGUUCUUUAAUAUUUCUAUUAAGGGGUUUUUAUUAAAUAUUAACAUCGCUGAUAUGCAAAAGUUUUGGUCAAUACACUUUAUCGAAUUCUCUCAUCAGAAACAACAAAGUGCAGAUGUAAGAUUCAUCAUACACUGCAGACAACAUCACUGAUUAUAGCUUAUAGUUUUUUAGAGUGCUUUCACUCAGGCUUCAGUAAUAUUCUUUGAUUAUGUAAAUGUUCUUUGUUCACUGUAUAAUUUGUUCGUUGUUUGAAUAAUAGUGGACAUGCGCAUUAUAAUUAAACUUAAAAUGUCUUUUUUAUUAAGCUUGAUCAGGUUAAAUUCAAAUUCAGUCUUAUUAAAAUAUUUUGUCAUAAGAUUGAUAGCCUACUUGCCUAAAACGUUAUGAUGUGUGUAGUUAAUAGAUUACAUUAGGCUACAGAUUAGACUACAGUGGUUUGAGCGCGUUUGACCAGAGAGCUCAAUUAAAGAGCAGUGCUUAUUGACGGUGGCCGUAUUCAGAGGCGAGAAAGCUUCGGAAAACAGCUCAUAAAAAAGACGAGGACGUGAAUGUUUUUUUACAAGUCGGAAAGUAAAAUUACGUUAUAUUGCGUGAACAUUCACAUGUAUUUCAGUCAGUGUGAGGCGGAGAUGUACAGGUGCCGCGAGGCGAGCAAGAAAAAUAGGCUACAACCGCACUAGGCUAUUUAUUUCUGGUCAGUUUAAUAAAUAAUCACAAAAAUGAAGUAUCUUGGGGAUGAUCAAGGGGCAAAAGGAAAAUCUCAGUCCUGGCCCUGCGGCAGGGGGUGCUGCAUCACCCUCAGCACCCCUAGUUAUUGCGGCCAUGUUCCCUUCUGCAUAUAGUUUAUCUCUGUCUCCGGUUCACACUCCAGUACAGUGGCGGUAAUUCACCAUUGAAGUUGGAUGCCAACCGCCGUUAAACAUCAAGGAAGAAGAAGAAGAAGAACACGGAAACAUAGGUGCGUUCAGCCUGAAGAGGCACUGUGCAGACCGAUCAGCGUAACAAAGUAUCGCGAGAGCUAUAUAGAGAGCGGACCACUUCGUAUGCUUUUGAAUAGCUCUCGCGGUAGUUUAAUCUCACAUUUACUUUCAGUUUUCUUACAAGUAAUGUUAGCAUUUGAGAAAUAUUAUGCAAAAUUUACAUUAAUUAUAUCGGGGCACCAUGAUCAUCGGUUGGUGCUUCAUCUGUGUGUUUGCAGUUCUGAUAAAUAAAGUGUGUCUGCAGGUCACAGUAGAGGCUGUUAUUGGAGGUUCUGUUGUCCUGCCGUGUUCUUCAACUGAACAUGAUCUUAAACUUCAAGACAUUGAUGUGUUUUGGAGACACAAUGGCAGUGAGACUAUUUAUGAUUUAAUUAAGGGUAAUGAUUCAGUAGCAGGACAGAACCCACAGUACAAGAACAGAGCUAAAACUUUCCCUGAUGAGUAUCUGAGAGGAAACUUUUCCAUCAAGCUCAUAAAUCUUCAACACACUGAUGCAGGAGAGUUCAGCUGCUUUAUCACACACUCAUCUGAUUCUAAACAGGAGACUAUACGGCUGAUCAUUAACGAAUCAACAGUAGAAAAAGCAAGCAAUUCAACUCAACAAGCAAACCAAGAACCAGAAACAAAAGCACACCGAUGGCAUAUAUAUACAAUAAUCAGUGUCUGCAUUUUUGUAUCUUUAAUAUUUAUUUUGUCUUUAAGAAUUUGUUAUAUUUCAUUUGAGAAAAAGACCUCAAGCUCCCAUAUAGAAGGAAACAGCAUCUGAGCAGCCUGUAUUUUCCAGCACCCAUGUUAACAAAUAAGCGUUCACAUCCGAAGCAUGAGCAGCAUGUCAUUCGUAUUCUCUCACCUCAUAUAGUCUUGUUACAAUGUUGCUGACAGAAAUCAAUGUGCACUGCUUAUUCUUAUUGUAUAACAGAAUGAGAUCUUGAAACACUGAAAUGGGAACAAUUUUGCUGUCAAUAUUCUGUACCACAAGUGUUUUUGCCAGAAUAAAUUCUUUAUGUAUUGCUUAUUUGUUAAUAUUGGAACUGCACAUCAUUUAAAAAACUGUGAUUUAUUAAUUCCUGAUAACACAUCAGCCAAUUUAAUGAGUUCUGUUUGCACAUAGUCUGCUCAAGGUAAAACAUGGUGUUCAUGCUCAUGACUGAGACUGUUACACAGCUCUGUAGACUGUUGUCAGAAGAUUCAAAUUAUUUAGUUUAUUUGCUGUACUAAGAUAUGCUCUACUAAAAAGGAAGCCUCUUUGUUUGGCCCAUUUUACUGAGUCUUUCCAGGAGAGGAAAGUUUUCUGGUGAAUUUUAAAGAUUGUUUGUUAAACAAUUUAAUCUUUUUGUUUUGCAAGAUUUCAUAGCAAGAAUUAUGAAAGCUGCAUUUACUCAAGGUAUCAUGAUGCUGCUCUCAAACCCAGCAUAUCUUCCUAAUAAUAAUUAUAACAUUUAAAGUUUUUAGUUUCUUAAGCAUGAACAAGAUGCUGUAAUAGAUCCCAGUCUGUUUUUUUUGUCGGGCACAUUUCUAAUAUUAAUACUAAUAGAUGUUGUUACUUUGUCAGAUUUGAUUUCAGAUGAAACCUUUGUUUUGUUUUCAGAUCUUUGUAAAGCAUUUUAUUCUUUUACACAUUUAUUUAUUUACGUACGUAUACAAAAAAGCACAGUGAAUGAUAAAGCGACUUAUCUAUAUAUGAUGUAAUGUCAAAGAAUAUGUGCAGUAAAUGUUUUGACAAUAAAAGAACUGGAACUAAAUCUGUGGUUACAUAGAAA